GGGCUCGUGGCGGAAUUGGCAGACGCAGCGGCCUUAAAAGCCGCAGUUCCAAAGGAACGUGUGGGUUCGAGUCCCACCGAGCCCA
This 85-nucleotide transfer RNA is filed under the name Phycisphaerales bacterium. RNAcentral describes it as "tRNA-Leu". It matches the Rfam family "tRNA". From Rfam's summary of the family: Transfer RNA (tRNA) molecules are approximately 80 nucleotides in length. Their secondary structure includes four short double-helical elements and three loops (D, anti-codon, and T loops). The record is from RNAcentral. Lineage: Bacteria; Pseudomonadati; Planctomycetota; Phycisphaerae; Phycisphaerales.